Microplitis demolitor is the source of this 957-nucleotide long non-coding RNA. RefSeq lists it as uncharacterized. The record is from RefSeq and is a predicted model, not a curated record. The transcript is spliced from 3 exons. NCBI's taxonomy places the organism in Eukaryota, Metazoa, Arthropoda, Insecta, Hymenoptera, Braconidae.
UGGUGGUACUGUAAAGAAAUAACAUGCGACGGUUAUAUAUCUCUAUUGGUCAAAGUGAGAUAUACGACAAAAUGGCGUCGGCCUAGGUGCCGGCGUGAGAUUCACGUGCUGUCAUGGUCAGUCGUGGGAUAGUCUCUGUAAGAGUAGCGUGUGAGCUCUGUUACAUUAAACUAAUUAUAAAUUUGUCGCCAUUUGGUAUUUUGUGUAGAUAAUAUAAACCCAUUGGCAUUAGUUUAGCAUUUGGAUAACUCACAUAAAGGAAAAUACAUUUACCGUAUUAGCGUGCAACCAAGGGAGUUGAAUAAUACGUAACUGUAGCAUAUAGCCGCACCACCGCCGAAGCAUAGCUGUACGCUUUUAUUUGAUUCCGGAGGACAGUAAAAAAAUAUUGAACUACAGAAAUACAGAAGACUAGAGGAAAAACGCUAGACUUGUCAACGACUGCACACGCUUUAGUGAGAUUUGAACUUGGGACCCUGCGGACGAAAGACCGAGGCUUUAACGACGAGGCUAUGCAACAAAAAAACAAACUUGGGAAAACAAAUUAAAAAAAAAAACUUUUUUUUUCAAGUAAUGGAUGUUCAUCUAUAAGCGAGAAAUCGUUAAGAACAAAUUUUUUUCGUUUCUGUACACUUUGAACGCUCUUUAUUUGACUAUCCGUAUCGUAUAGUAACAUUACAACUCGAUCGUGUUCAAUAAAUAAAAAUUUAUGGUAAAAUUACAAACCACUGUAAUUCUACAAUAUAAUUUGUAAGAAAGAAAUUAUGGUUUGUGAAAUUCUAAUGAUUUCAUUAUAAUAUAGAUCGCAAUAGUUUUUUGUGAUCUUACAAAAAAUUAUGGCAAAUUAAUUACAAACAUCUUUUGUAAACUUUAAACGCUUUUCAUUCAAAAUCAACGUAUUGUUUUGCAAAAUUACAACUGGUGUAUAAUAAAUGAAAAUUUAUGGCAAAAAUUACG